Molecule: long non-coding RNA, 180 nt
Organism: Zonotrichia leucophrys gambelii
Lineage: Eukaryota; Metazoa; Chordata; Aves; Passeriformes; Passerellidae
Exons: 3
Source: RefSeq, a predicted model, not a curated record
GUCUUCUGGAUUUCUGUGGUGGAAGGAGCAUCUCGUGUCUUCUAAAGAUGGUCCUGACAAGGAGAGAAGCACAGGCCUGACUUUAUUGCACGACCAUGCCAAGCCCUCUGGGAUCUCCCAUUAUUGAGGAAGGUUUUUUAAUAUAGCGAUGAUGUCCACAGCGCAGGGGGCACACCUGAU